CCAGCCCUCUCUCCUCUUACUGUAACUUCCCCAAAUUCUUUUCCUUUUUCAAUUGGAAUUCUGGAAUGCUGGCGAGAGACACACAAUCCUUUCCUCUCCAUGACUCCCAUCCAAACCUGCAUCUUAGAGGAACCAAUGAUACCUCGCAACACCAAAAUAUUUGGGAAAACAAAAAAAACACCUGCCACUCCCCACGUUGAGGAGAUAAUCUAAAAGCACCCUCUCAACUUCAAAACAGAAAAAAAGGACUCACAACCUCCAUCACCCAAUCCCAUCUUCCAGACCAAGGGGAAUUUCAUUUUUCCAAUUAUCCGAAAACCACUUUUUCUCUCCCUGGCGGACACACACACGUUCCUUUUCUCUCCAUCGUCCAUCGUCACCUUCUAAUCCCCACCGACCGGUAUCCCUUCGUGGCCACUAGAAAUAGAGAAGAUUAAACAAAAUCAUGGACCCAUCCUCAAUAACUCUCACCCAUCAGCUUGUGCUCCAUUUUCAUUCUCAAAAACAAACUGACAUUCACCCAAUCAAUAUUAGCAGAUCCCAUGAUCACCAAAGUUUUUACAGUUAUAGUAGCUACAUCUAAAUUGCUAAAGAGCAAUUCAAGGCAACGAGGAACGGAGGGAAUUGAGUUGAGACGUGCGAAGGUGAAGCUUCGGUAAGUCGCGUCAUUCUCGAGUUGGUGUCAUCGACGGUAGCUGAAACGUGUGUCGUUCACAAAGCCGGCAACGGAGGAACGACGCUGCAAGAGACUGAACGUGGUAGAGUUGCACGAUCAUUCGCAUCAGCCUCGCGCUAAAAUCUUUUCUUCAUUUAAAAUAACAAAAUAUUUUAAAGGUUUAAGCGUGUGUGCGAUCAUUCGCAUCAGCCUCGCGCUAAAACCUUUUCUNNNNNNNNNNNNNNNNNNNNNNNNNNNNNNNNNNNNNNNNNNNNNNNNNNNNNNNNNNNNNNNNNNNNNNNNNNNNNNNNNNNNNNNNNNNNNNNNNNNNNNNNNNNNNNNNNNNUGCGAUCAUUCGCAUCAGCCUCGCGCUAAGAUCUUUUCUCCUUUUAAAAAUAACAAAAAGGUUGAAGCGUGUGUGCGAUCAUUCGCAUCAGCCUCUCGUUAAGAUCUUUUCCCCUUUUAUAAAAAUAUCAAAGGCAUUUUAAAGGUUUAGGCACGUGUGUGAUCAUUCGCAUUGUCCUCGUGCGGAGACUUUUCUUUUUCUCACAUAAAAAAUACGGAAAUACCAAGCAAACUUCCAAUCAGCUUUUCCAAACAAUUUCCUCAAACAAAUUUUCCAAACAGUUUGAAAGAACUACGUAACCCUGAUUUCUCAUUUUGAAUGAGAAUACGUAGGAGCAAGGUCAAUCCUUGUCGAGCCCAAAAAACCAAAAAAAUAUUUUUGUUUCUUUAUAUUGUUGUCUUUGGGAUAGUUAAACAUUUUACAAACCACAUCUUAUUUCGCGUAUUUAAUUAAAGGUACUGCCUUAAGGCAGGCGUUGUGGGGGUACUAACACAUUCUCCACACGUAACCGACUCCCGAAUUGAAUAUUUGGUUUUCAUAGACUAAGCCUUAUCCUCUUUAUGGUUUUUUCCAUAGUUUUCCAGAAUAAACUAUGGUGGCGACUCCAAAACAAUUUUUCAACAGUUUUCUUUUUGGAUCGUCGUCCCAUCACGAUUCUGGUUGCGACACAAUGCAAGUCAACUGAAUUAAAUGCGAAAUCAAUUUGGUUGUUAUGACUGUUGCUAAUUUGUUUUAAUUUCUAUUUAUAACUGUCUGAUGACAGUCAACUACAUUAGUAGAAAAGUCGACUACAGGAGCGUCUGGUUUAUAGAAAACUAUAAAUAGACGUGAUUUUGUUGAUCACAGAGACUUUGGAUGUUCUAACAUUUUCGUUUGAUAUUUCAGAUUGUGAUCUCUAUGUAAAAGCUCCAAGAAAUCAUCAAUAAGAUGGAACAGAUCUUUCUUGGAAGAGUUUCUUAAGGAGGAACUAAUUUGCGCGUACUGUUUGAUCAAGAUCUUCGUAAGUUGUUCUUCAUCAUAUUGGUCAAGAUUUCUAUCAAUCUUUGGAAAGUUUAUUGUUGUCCUGUUAGGAUUACAAGAGGUGAACUCGUGGAGUUCUGGACACUUUGAGGAUUGUUCAAAGUGGGUUGAAGAUUGCAAAAGAGGGGAUAUCUUGUUGCAUAUCUUUGUGUUGACUUCCUAUACUUUUAGUUAAAGGGUUAGAGAGAUUGUCUAUACUUUUGACGUGGAGGUCUCUAUAGAUAUCUUGUUGUAAAAACCUUGACUAAUAUAGUGCAUUAGCUUCCUGGUUGUGGAAGGACACUGGAUGUAGGCAUAUAGCCCGAACCAGUAUAAAAAAUUUGUGUUUGCUUUCUCUUUCCCUACACUUUUACUUUAUAUCAACUUUACAAUUUACAUAAUUAACUUUAUAUUUCCGCUGCACUUAAACUUCUUAUUCCUUGCGAUUCAAGAAACUUUUUAAAGGUUUAUAUUUUGUGAAAAAGAUUUUAAAAAGAAUCUGAUUUUUAAACCUCACCAAUUCAAACCCCCCCCCCCCUCCCCUCUUGGUGUUGAAACUGAGCCAUCCUGUUUCCAACAGACGGAUUGGUCUCAGAAAUUAGAUGACUCUCCUUGGGCAUAUAGGACGACAAUGAAGACAACUAUAGGGCUAUCUCCUUUUUAGUUAGUCUGUGGGAAAGUGUGUCAUCUGCAAUGGAGAUGAAGCAUAAAGCUUUGUGGGCCCUAAAAUUCUUGAAUUUUGAUCCCUUUGAUACUAAUAAUAAAUGAAGAAGGCAGACUCUUGAGCUUGAAGAGAUGUGUUUGCAUCCACAUGAUUCUUCUAGGAAUUAUAAAGAAAAGGUAAAAUUUUAUCAUGACAGGAAGCUAGUAAAGAAUGAUUUCAAUCCAGGGCAGUAGGUACUAUUCAGUUCAUUCCUAAAGCUUUUUCUUGGGAAGUUGAAGUCAAAGUAGUUAGGGUCGUUCAUAGUAAAAAAAUUUUGUCCCCAUGGAGUAAUUGAGUAGAUAGAUCCAACCGCUAAUGAUCCACAAAGAAGUUGGGUGGUAAACGCUGAACGUCUCAAGCAUUAUUUGGGUGGAGAAGUUGAACGCCUUUCCAUAGUUAUGAAGUUGGUUGAUCCAUGAGCAUAAUGGUGUCAAGCUAAUGACCUUAAAACAAGCGCUUACUAAUAACGGUUUAAAACACCGUUACUUGUGAUGUAGUUUUUAUACUAAAAACACCCUCUUUUCACUUAGAAACUUGCUUGGACUCAUGCUUUUUCAUUAAGUUGUGUGAAUAAGAGAGUUGAGGUUGAUUUCAAUAAUUUUAUGACUAAUUGCCUUUGUUUUGACAGAGAUUGAGGUAAUACUGGAAGAAGAGAUGAAAAACUAAGAAGAUGGAGCUCAGAAGGGCGUAAAAAGCAACCUGAAGGAGGGAAAACACGAAGCUCAAGCGACCAGAGCCGAAGCUGUGGCGAUCAAAAUCGACGUCCACCACUCAGGCGGUGGCCUUCGCCGCCUGGAUGGAAGAGCCUCGAAGCUUGGGUGUCCAAUUUCGACGCCUGGGCCUUACAUGAGCCAUUCUAACUGCCUGGGCGUCCUCCUAGACCACCUGGGUGUCGACUUUCGCGGGUCGGGCCCUGUUUCUGCUCUGUUUUGAUUCUUUUGGACCAGGCCCUAUUUUGGCACGCCUCUAACACUAUUUAAAGGACCCUGGGGCUCCAAGUUUUGUAUCCCUAGCGAAGAAGAGCAUAACAAUACACUCUUUUCCCAAUUCUUAGGCUUUUAUUCUCAUUCUUUCUUCCAUUAUUCAUAGAGUUCCCUCAUAUCUGUGGGGAACUAAUUUCAAUUUGUUGUUGGGGAAUGAUGUAACUUUUGAGAAAUAGGUAGGCUUCGUUUUAACACCAAGAG
RNAcentral lists this long non-coding RNA (3887 nucleotides) under Vigna radiata. RNAcentral describes it as "long non-coding RNA (VRAD_LNC005298)". Lineage: Eukaryota; Viridiplantae; Streptophyta; Magnoliopsida; Fabales; Fabaceae. The record is from RNAcentral.